RNAcentral lists this long non-coding RNA (490 nucleotides) under Volvox carteri. Its description in RNAcentral is "long non-coding RNA (VCAR_LNC001123)". The record is from RNAcentral. Lineage: Eukaryota; Viridiplantae; Chlorophyta; Chlorophyceae; Chlamydomonadales; Volvocaceae.
UGAUUUCGAAAGCUACGCGCAAACUCAUCUGCCCUACACGGUUCCAAGAUGUAACUUGCCAGAUGAGCAUGAAGUUAUUUCCCUUGUGCAAACAUAUACACCGCUCCCGAGAAAUCCACCAUACCACUGACCUCCUCCAGAGAGGUGUUCAGGAUAAUUGAUGCUUGUUAGAGUCGCCCAUACUUCAUAUCUUUUACAUUCUCUUCUACCACAGAAGCAUCCUAAGCUCUGGUACGCGUUUCAGGGGCAAAUACUUAAGGGAAACUGGCAAGAAAAAAUGCACCGAGUCGGCAAAUUCGCACCUCUUGUGUUUCUAUCCAUGCAAAUGUACUGUAAGGAAAUCUCAGGGGAAAUUAUACGCUGAUGGCAUGCGUAAAAGGCUCGGGGCCAUUCUGCAGGUUGUAGCGGUUGGCCAUGCAACUUGUUCCGCUUUGUCCCACACGGCUCAUGCCAUGUGUGGCUCUCGUCUGCUUCCUUCCGAAACCCUCAG